This is a non-coding RNA of Doryrhamphus excisus (bluestripe pipefish), 7659 nucleotides long. The record is from RefSeq and is a predicted model, not a curated record. NCBI's taxonomy places the organism in Eukaryota, Metazoa, Chordata, Actinopteri, Syngnathiformes, Syngnathidae.
CUGCACUUAGAGACGUUGUUUGAUUUGAUUGGUCGCCCGAAGGGCAACAUUCAGUUGUCAUCUGAAUGGCUGCCCUGUAUGUCAAUCAAGUGACGGCAUUGAUGCUGGGAUGAUAUUUUUUUAAUGUCACGCCGCGAUCGACCAGCGAUCGACCAGUACCACCUCCGCGAUCGACCGGUAGAUCGCGAUCGACUUAAUGAGCACCCCUCUCUUAAACCUUUGGGAAGGGGAACACCCAUAUUUCCCUGGUUGUGUGUUAGCUCUCACACAAUGCAUGCACCAGUUCCCUGAGGCCCUCCUUUAUGUUUUUUUUUUUUACUGUAGUCAGGCAUGCAAACCUUGUGCAUGAUUUUAUUCACCUGUUCAGAUUUGUAGACUCUACAAAUACUACUAUACUAGAUUAGAACAGUGCUUGUCAAAUAAUAUACAUAUAAAUGUCUAUGAAUGAAUAGAUAUGGGGGGUGUGUGAAAACACUUCUUCCCCCUGACAGACAACUGAAUUGAAACCAAUGCUUUCGUUGCAAACAGUCAUCCGUCAUUUAUGGUGGCUGAUUGGUUCCAGACCCGACCAUGAGAAGUACUUUUCCGUAAAGUUGGAUUUCUUAUUUAAAAAUUGAAUAUUUACACUCAUUCAUUCAUUUUUAUACCGCUCCUCCUCAGCAUGAGGAUGCUGGAGCCUAUCCCAGCUGUCUUGGGGCGAGAGGCGGGGUACACCCCGGACUGGCGGCCAGCCAACCACAGGGCACAUAUAGACAAACAACCAUUCACACUCACAUUCAUACCUAUGGACAAUUUGGAGUCGCUAAUUAACCUAGCAUGUUUUUGGAAUGUGGGAGGAAACCGGAGUACCCGGAGAAAAGCCACGCAUGUGAUUGUUUUGGCUUUGGCACGCCUGCGCAGUGUGAAUGAAAAUGGCGGUACAGGCUGCAUGAUGCAGGUCUAGGGGGAAUUUGACUUUUUGUCAAAAAUCGGACUGAGGACAUGAAAUUUUCCACUUUUGAACUAAAAGGUAAACAUGACAGCUCCAAAAGUGUCUCGGAUUUUUUUAAUAGAACGGUUGUAGAUUUCAUCAUAAUCAGCACGAUGAAAGCAUCUUUAUGACAUGCACCUCUUAUGUAUUUGUGCUUUGAACUGGUGCAUACUGUGUAUAAAGUGAAAAGAGACGUGGGGCGUUUAUUUCCUGUGGAUUGGAUGCGUUCACUGCAGCGGUGUCAGAUCAUCUAACGGAGACUUCCUUCAUCCUUCAAGAAGUGCAGCGAGCUCCUGUCCAGCAGUCCAACCAUGGUGUGGGUGCUGCGGUAUUUGGUGAUGAUGCUGAGCUUUUGUAGCCCAGGUUACGGUAACCUUGUUAUAAAUCGUGGAAAAACCGCCACAUUUCUCUGCAGGUACACCCUAUCCUCUGCCGACGGGUACUACGAUAUCAAGUGGUUGAAGCAGCUUCCAAGUAUGAAGGAACCUGUUUACAGGAGCAUUGUUACGUUUACCAAUGGCAACCUGUAUACUGAUCUGUACCAACCAAUGAAGGGCAGGGUCUCCUUCGAAUUUCCUGACCCCAGCAAAGGAGAUGCUUCCAUAGCCAUCAAAGGCUUGCAAACCUCCGACACGGGGACCUACGUGUGUAAAGUGCGAAAGUCAGCUGAAAUCCUUAAAGACAAAGCCUUUGUCAUAGAAGUGACGGAGAAGUCUGUCGUUACUUGUACCGUGCACGGGGAGCCUACACUGGGUAUGGAUGUGAUGUUCAAAUGUAGUUCCUUAGAAAGCAUCAAGGUGCGGUACACGUGGAAGAAGACCAGCGGAAACAAGAUGUUGCCUCCCGACGCCAUUGAGGACACUGAAAAAGGUGAAUUGUUUAUAAACAUCAGAGACGACGACGACUAUGGACACUAUCUCUGUACGGUGGAAGGUCUGGCUUCCUCCAAAAGCUGUCUGGUCCAACUCAAGGAUCCACUUGAUCCACCACCGAGCGAUGACGAUGAAUCUCCAGGCACUGCGUUCCCUGUGACCCCAAACAAUGACCCGGCAGUCCCCAGCAAUGACCCAAUGGCCUCCAGCAAUGACCCAAUGGCCUCCAGCAAUGGCGAUACAACUACAAUAGCGGCCGUGACGACCACCAUGCUUUUGCUGGCUAUCGUCUGUGCUAUGGUUGGUAUCUGGUACUGGCGUAAGAGAAUCGGUUCGUAUGCCCCCAAUGAAAGGGGGGAGGUGGCGCAACCUCGGCCAGACGGAGCCACCGUGCUGCCUCAACCAUCAAACGGGGGACAUCUCUACUAUGACCAGGUGGAUGAUCUUUGAGGAGGACCAGGACAUGUAGUGGCAACAUCAUCCCUACACUCUUAAAAAUGCUGGGUUAAAAACAACUCAAUAUGGGUUGUUUUCCAACCCAACGCUGGUUAAAUAUAGGACCAACCUCGCGUUGGGUUAUUUUAACCCAACAAGUUGGGUUGGUUCUCUUAACCCAACAAUUGGGUUGUACAUUGGGUUGUUCAAAUGACCCAACGCUGGGUUCAUAUUUACUACACGGCUGGGUUAUUUCAACCCAGCAAGUUGGGUUGCCAAUAUACCAUAUAUAUUUAUAUAUAUAUAUUUAUUGUAUACUAAUACUAUUAAUAAUAUAUUACAAUGAUAAUGACACCAAUGUAACAAAUUUAUUAAAAUUCAACAUUUCCAGAACAUACAAAUAGAACAACUCACAACAUUUCCUUCACAUAUGAACAAAUUAUGUACAAAAAAAUAACAUUUUAAGAACGGGUGAGGGGGACAGCUAUGAGAGAGUGAUAUAUACAUAGAACAAGAGGCUCUGUGAGCAGCAGCACAAAUGGGUAGGCGAUUCUGCCUGCUGCAAGUAUUCCACCAUGUUAGCUCUGACCUACGAUGAGAAAAGAAAAAAAGGUAAGUAUUUUGUAAGUAUUUUGUAAGUAUUUCUAGCAGUGCAGAGCAAUUGUCAUCAGCUCUCUACUGAAGCUAUUUCAAUAUAUAUUCUACAGGGAGAAGUACGACACCCGUAAAUUCAAUGGCGUGUUCAACAAUUUAUUCAGGGGGUUUGGACAGUCUUACACUCUUAAAAAUGCUGGGUUAAAAACAACCCAAUCUGGGUUGUUUUUCAACCCAACGCUGGUUAAAUAUAGGACCAACCUCGCGUUGGGUUAUUUUAACCCAACAAGUUGGGUUGGUUCUCUUAACCCAACAAUUGGGUUGUACAUUGGGUUGUUCAAAUGACCCAACGCUGGGUUCAUAUUAACUACACGGCUGGGUUAUUUCAACCCAGCAAGUUGGGUUGCCAAUAUACCAUAUAUAUUUAUAUAUAUAUUUUAAUUGUUAUUUAUUUAUUUUUAUUGUAUGCUAAUACUAUUAAUAAUAUAUUACAAUGAUAAUGACACCAAUGUAACAAUAAAAUAUUUAUUAAAAUUCAACAUUUCCAGAACAUACAAAUAUAACAACUCACAACAUUUCCUUCACAUAUGAACAAAUUAUGUACAAAAAAAAUAACAUUUUAAGAACGGGUGAGGGGACAGCUAUGAGAGAGUGAUAUAUACAUAGAACAAGAGGCUCUCUGAGCAGCAGCACAAAUGGGGAGGCGAUUCUGCCUGCUGCAAGUAUUCCACCAUGUUAGCGCCGACCUACGAUGAGAAAAGAAAAAAAGGUAAGUAUUUUGUAAGUAUUUCUAGCAGUGCAGAGCAAUUGUCAUCAGCUCUCUACUGAAGCUAUUUCAAUAUACAUUCUACAGGGAGAAGUAUGACACCUGUAAAUUCAAUGGAGUGUUCAACAAUUUAUUCAGGGGGUUUGGCCAGUCUUAUGUUUGGUCUGUGGUUUACAUGUCACACAUCACUAUGGAGUAACAACUUACACCAAGUUACAACUUGUAAGAAUAGUGCUUCAUGAAAUGAGAAACACAGCCAAAUGUUACGUUGUCACACAUUCCACGAAAUACAAUCUUUUCAAGUAGCUCCUCAUAAAAAGAGUCCUUUAAAACUGUAAAAGAACAACUGGAGUCAUUUCACAAUUCAUUUACAUUUUAAUUUCUAUUGAAAGGUAAAUUACUUACGGGCUUAACAUCGAGGAAGGCUCUCUUCACCUCCUGAAUACUCGCCCGGACCAAUUUCCUGCCCUUUUUAAACACAGGCGGAGGGAGCAGGAUGGGCAGAAGCGUCAGGGCGACUUCUCCCCUGGCAUCUGUAGGACAAUUAUGGGUGUCAUUACCAGAUUGUUGAGAACAUGAGUUUUAAAUAAUAUAAUAUUACAAUUUUAGAUAAAACUGUCUUGUUUUCAAUAUGUUCCACUACUGUGCAGUGUUGUUGUAUUGCAAUCAACUCUAACAUAAUAAGAAAAUGUCUCGAUUAUGUUUACUUGGUCUAUUUUAAAACACAAAAACACACCCCAAACAUUUUUUUACCAAUUGGGAUCAUAAUGUGUACCAUAGAGGGUUUGUCAGUUUGUCUUUUUGACUAUAACAGCAAUAUAUAUUGGAAUCACAAGAUGGAUCACAAUCAAAAUCAAAUCAAAUUUUGGGUAUUGGCACAAGCUACGGUGACUGACCCACCGCCAUUUCUUAUGUAUAGAACAUAUAGUAGGCACAGUAGCUACUGUAAAACAAUACCCAUAAAAUGAAGGCAUGAAGAUGACUUACCUUUCAAUCAGCCCUGGUAGCUGCCUCUCAGUCAAUUUGGAACUGAUAAACUCAUCCAUAGAUGCUUUUCAGCGAACUGAAACAUCACAAAGAGGGUCCAUAAGAACAAACAUACCAUGAAAUGAACUAAGAUUCAGUAGUCCAAACGUAUUCUCCACAUUUAUAUGCGACUUACAAAACUGUCGUCGAAUUCGCGCCCAAACUAGUUGAAACUGCUAAGUAUACAGUGGACUAUCGGUGGCUAACGGAAGCCCGCUAGCAUGCAGCAGUCUGGCUUAAAAAAAACACCGGUUCAUCAGCACGCUCGUAUUAAUUCACGAGAUUCUUUAACUUGAUAUCACAUAAAAUGGCAAAUUGACGAGAUAACUGACGUUAACUAUCACACAUAGUGCACGUCUCUUGUAACUUCUACAACAUAGUUUGGUUCCUACAUAGCUCGCCAGCGAAUGUGUUCGCUUGCCACUUUUGGAGGGAAUGGAAGUUUGCUAAGGUUACCGAUCCAUUCCUGAAGCUAGUACUCAACAGUGCUUCACGAACUUACAUUUUAACAAGUUUAUGAAGCUUUAUAUAAUAAUAUAAAGUAAAUUCUACGGUAAAACAAUAGUGGGCAUGUAACAAACCUUGCUCCGUGCUGAAAUUGGUCUCCUCAGAUGAAAUGUGGGGUCCGAACGAAGUAAGUUUGUGGGCGGGGCUUUGUUGCGCGUGUUCAAAAUUCUACCCAACGCUUUGGGUUGUCCAAAAUAACCCAGCACAAUAUAAUGGAAAUCACAACCCAGCAGCAAAUAACUCAGCACCCAACAGAGAUAACCCAGCGAAUUGGGUUCUCAGAAUACCCAACUCAAUAAAAAUAACCCAAUUAAAUGACCCAACAGGCUCAACCCAGCGAUUGGGUCAAAAAAAUAACCCAGCAUUUUUAAGAGUGUAUGUUUGGUCUGUGGUUUAUACGUCACACAUCACUAUGGAGUAACAACUUACACCAAGUUACUACUUGUAAGAAUAGUGCUUCAUGAAAUGAGAAACACAGCCAAAUGUUACGUUGUCACACAUUCCACGAAAUACAAUCUUUUCAAGUAGCUCCUCAUAAAAAGAGUCCUGCUUUACAACUGUGUAAGAACAACUGGAGUCAUUUCACAAUUCAUUUACAUUUUAAUUUCUAUUGAAAGGUAAAUUACUUACGGGCUUAACAUCGAUGAAGGCUAUUUCCUACCCUUUUUAAACACAGGCAGAGGGAGCAGGAUGGGCAGCAGCGUCAGGGCAACUUCUCCCCUGGCAUCUGUAGGACAAUUAUGGGUGUCAUUACCAGAUUGUUGAGAACAUGAGUUUUAAAUAAUACAAUUUUAGAUACAACUGUCUUGUUUUCAAUAUGUUCCACUACUGUGCAGUGUUGUUGUAUUGCAAUCAACCCUAACAAAAUAUUAAGAAAAUGUCUUGAUUAUGUUUACUUGGUCUAUUUUAAAACACAAAAACACCCCAAACAUUUUUACCAAUUGGGAUCAUAAUGUGUACCAUAGAGGGUUUGUCAUCAUUGUCUCGCAGGCUGAUAUAACAGCAAUAUAUAUUGGAAUCACAAGAUGGAUCAUUCAUUCAUUUUCUACCGCUUUUUCCUCACAAGGGUCGCGGGGGGUGCUGGGUUCUGGACCAGGACCGAACCCUGGUCUCCUAGCUGUGAGGUCUGCGCACUAACCACCAGACCGCCGUGCCGCCCCAAGAUGGAUCACUCUGUUAAAAUUUUGGGUAUUGGUACAAGCUACAGUGACUGACCCACCGACAUUUCUUAUGUAUAGAACAUAUAGUAGGCACAGUAGCUACUGUAAAACAAUACCCAUAAAAUGAAGGCAUGAAGAUGACUUACCUUUCAAUCAGCCCUGGUAGCUUCCACUCAGUCAAUUUGGAACUGACAAACUCAUCCAUAGAUGCUUUUCAACGAACUGAAACAUCACAAAGAGGGUCCAUAACAAACAUACCAUGAAAUGAAAUAAGAUUCAGUAGUCCAAACGUAUUCUCCACAUUUAUAUGCGACUUACAAAACUCGUCGAAUUCGCGCCCAAACUAGUUCAAACUGAUAAGUAUUCAGUGGACUAUCGGUGGCUAACGGAAGCCCGCUAGCAUGCAGCAGUCUAGCGUAAAAAAAAAACACCGGUUCAUCAGCACGCUCGUAUUCACGAGAUUCAUUAACUUGAUAUCACAUAAAAUGGCAAAUUGACGAGAUAACUGACGUUGUCCUAACUAUCACACAUAGUGCAUGUCUCUUGUAGCUUCAACAACAUAGUUUGGUUCCUACAUAGCUCGCCAGCGAAUGUGUUCGCUUGCCACUUUUGGAGGGAAUGGAAGUUUGCUAAGGUUACCGAUCCAUUCCUGAAGCUAGUACUCAACAGUGCUUCACGAACUUACAUGUUAACAAGUUUAUGAAGCUUUAUAUAAUAUAAAGUCAAUUCUACGGUAAAACAAUAGUGGGCAUGUAACAAACCUUGCUCCGUGCUGAAAUUGGUCUCCUCAGAUUAAAUGUGGGGUCCGAACGAAGUAAGUUUGUGGGCGGGGCUUUGUUGCUCGUGUUCAAAAUUCUACCCAACGCUUUGGGUUGUCCAAAAUAACCCAGCACAAUAUAAUGGAAAUCACAACCCAUCAGCAAAUAACUCAGCACCCAACAGAAAUAACCCAGCAAAUUGGGUUCUCAGAAUACCCAACUCAAUAAAAAUAACCCAAUUAAAUGACCCAACAGGCUCAACCCAGCGAUUGGGUCAAAAAAAUAACCCAGCAUUUUUCAGAGUGUAGUGUUUAGCGACGCGUUGAGUUAGCCCACCAAGACCCAGCACCCGCAGAGAACACUGACAAGAAAACCCCAGGAUUCCCAAGACAAGCGGGCAGGCGAGCAGACGAGCAGCAAGGCAACCACCCAUUGGGAAGCAAAUUCCCAGAGUGGGAGUGCCGCAGCCCCAAAACGCGGGGAGGCCAAGCACCAGAGCUGCUAUUUUAUUCUGUCUGAUUGUUGAUCCGAUACUAUUCUUCUUAAUAUAUUUUUUAAUACCUCCAGUUCA